This 51-nucleotide non-coding RNA is filed under the name Trypanosoma vivax. Lineage: Eukaryota; Euglenozoa; Kinetoplastea; Trypanosomatida; Trypanosomatidae. The record is from RNAcentral.
AGUGGUGCAAUACAACAAAUACAAAUUCAAGUAGAUGAUACAAUGGUGCAG